RNAcentral lists this unclassified non-coding RNA (145 nucleotides) under soil metagenome. RNAcentral's name for it is "partial internal transcribed spacer 1". The record is from RNAcentral.
UAAUAAGUGUUUUAUGGCACUUUUUAAAUCCAUAUCCACCUUGUGUGCAAUGUCAGUCGAUCUUCUUCAUGGAGAUCGACCAAACAUCAACCUUUAUUUUUUAACUCUUUGUCUGAAAAAUAUUAUGAAUAGACAAUUCAAAAUA